Molecule: transfer RNA, 74 nt
Filed under: Nonomuraea longicatena
Lineage: Bacteria; Bacillati; Actinomycetota; Actinomycetes; Streptosporangiales; Streptosporangiaceae
Also listed under: 1 other name
Description: tRNA-Thr
Rfam family: tRNA
About the family: Transfer RNA (tRNA) molecules are approximately 80 nucleotides in length.
Source: RNAcentral
GCCGACGUAGCUCAAUCGGCAGAGCGUCUGUCUUGUAAACAGAAGGUCAGGGGUUCGAUUCCCCUCGUCGGCUC